CAGCCUUCAUACAACACACAUUCUGUGUUACCAGUUGAAGAAGAGCCUCAAGAACUAGAUUAUGCCAUCACCAAUGAUUGACGUGAUAAAACGGGCUAAAAGCCAUAGCAAGCUGAAAUUUCUUUUUGUCUCCUCCCAUUUCAAGGAUAUUCUAGGCCUCCAAAGCUUCAUUUGGUGAGGAAAAUCCUUUGCUUUUUUGCUACUUAUUUCAAUCAAUUUAUUUGGUAAACAUGGGAGGAAUAACAGUCCCCACAAUUUAGGUAGCUAGUUAUAUUACAACUGUUAUAAACAUGUAUGUAACAAUAAUCUUAGCAUAAAUUAAUUAAUUUUGAAAUUUGUCAUGA
Molecule: long non-coding RNA, 344 nt
Organism: Dendrobium catenatum
Lineage: Eukaryota; Viridiplantae; Streptophyta; Magnoliopsida; Asparagales; Orchidaceae
Exons: 2
Source: RefSeq, a predicted model, not a curated record